Molecule: ribosomal RNA, 404 nt
Filed under: uncultured bacterium
Lineage: Bacteria
Description: bacterial SSU rRNA
Rfam family: Bacterial small subunit ribosomal RNA
Source: RNAcentral
GAUGAACGCUAGCGGCAGGCUUAAUACAUGCAAGUCGAGGGGCAGCGAGUCCCGCAGCAAUGCGGGAGCUGGCGACCGGCAAACGGGUGCGGAACACGUACAGAACCUUCCUUCGAGCGGGAAUAGCCCAGAGAAAUUUGGAUUAAUACCCCAUAGCAUUACGAAGUGGCAUCACUUUGUAAUUAAAGAUUUAUCACUCGAAGAUGGCUGUGCGGCUGAUAGGUAGUUGGCGGAGUAACGGCCCACCAAGCCUUCGAUCAGUAACUGGUGUGAGAGCACGACCAGUCACACGGGCACUGAGACACGGGCCCGACUCCUACGGGAGGCAGCAGUAAGGAAUAUUGGUCAAUGGACGAAAGUCUGAACCAGCCAUCGCCGCGUGGAGGAUGAAGGUCCUCUGGAUU